UACGUAGGGGGCAAGCGUUGUCCGGAAUCAUUGGGCGUAAAGCGCGCGUAGGCGGCCAGAUUAGUCCGGUGUGAAAGUCAGAGGCUCAACCUUUGAAUGCCGCUGGAAACUGUCUGGCUUGAGUCCGGAAGGGGCGAGUGGAAUUCCUGGUGUAGCGGUGAAAUGCGCAGAUAUCAGGAGGAACACCAAUGGCGAAGGCAGCUCGCCGGAACGGUACUGACGCUGAGGCGCGAAAGCGUGGGGAGCAAACAGG
Molecule: ribosomal RNA, 253 nt
Filed under: uncultured bacterium
Lineage: Bacteria
Description: partial 16S ribosomal RNA
Rfam family: Bacterial small subunit ribosomal RNA
Source: RNAcentral